CAAUAGCGUAUAUUAAAGUUGUUGCGGUUAAAAAGCUCGUAGUUGGAGUUCUGCCAGGUGCCGCCUGUCCGCCCCAGUGGUGAGUACGUGGCGCGCAUUUGGCCCUUUCAAGGGGAGCGUAUCUGCACUUUAUUGUGUGGUGCGGGAUCCUUGACUUUUACUUUGAGGAAAUAGGAGUGUUCCAAGCAGGCUCUCGUCGUGCACAGCUCAGCAUGGAAUAAUAGCAUUGGACCUCGAUUCUAAGCUGUUGGUUGCCAGAAGCGAGGUAAUGAUGAAGAGGGAUAGUUGGGGGCAUUCGUAUUUAACUGUCAGAGGUGAAAUUCUUGGAUUUGUUAAAGACGAACUACUGCGAAAGCAUCUGCCAUGGAUGUUUUCAUUGA
Molecule: ribosomal RNA, 380 nt
Filed under: uncultured eukaryote
Lineage: Eukaryota
Description: partial 18S ribosomal RNA
Rfam family: Eukaryotic small subunit ribosomal RNA
Source: RNAcentral